CAGCAGCCGCGGUAAUACGGAAGGUCCGGGUGUUAUCCGGAUUUAUUGGGUUUAAAGGGAGCGUAGGCCGCAGGUUAAGUGUGUUGUGAAAAGCAGUCGCCCAACGUCUGCCUUGCGGCGCAUACUGUCCUGCUUGAGUGCGCACAACGCAGGCGGAAUUCGUCGUGUAGCGGUGAAAUGCUUAGAUAUGACGAAGAACUCCGAUUGCGAAGGCAGCUUGCGGGAGCGCAACUGACGCUGAAGCUCGAAAGUGCGGGUAUCGAACAGGAUUAGAUACCCUGGUAGUCCGCACGGUAAACGCUGGAUGCCCGUUUUUGGCUUAUUUUAAGUCAGAGACCAAGCGAAAGCAUUAAGCAUCCCACCUGGGGAGUACGCCGGCAACGGUGAAACUCAAAGGAAUUGACGGGGGCCCGCACAAGCGGAGGAACAUGUGGUUUAAUUCGAUGAUACGCGAGGAACCUUACCCGGGCUUGAAUUGCCAGAGACGGCUUCAGAGAUGGAGCUUCCCUUCGGGGCUUUGGUGAAGGUGCUGCAUGGUUGUCGUCAGCUCGUGCCGUGAGGUGUCGGCUUAAGUGCCAUAACGAGCGCAACCCCUUUCUUCAGUUGCCAUCGGGUAAUGCCGGGCACUCUGUAGAUACUGCCGCCGUAAGGUGUGAGGAAGGUGGGGAUGACGUCAAAUCAGCACGGCCCUUACGUCCGGGGCUACACACGUGUUACAAUGGGGGGCACAGCGAGCGGGAUGCCCGCAAGGUCAUUCAAAUCAAUAAAUCCCCCCUCAGUUCGGACUGGGGUCUGCAACCCGACCCCACGAAGCUGGAUUCGCUAGUAAUCGCGCAUCAGCCAUGGCGCGGUGAAUACGUUCCCGGGCCUUGUACACACCGCCCGUCAAGCCAUGAAAGCCGGGGGUGCCUGAAGUCCGUGACCGCAAGGAUCGGCCUAGGGCAAAACUGGUAAUUGGGGCUAAGUCGUAACAAGGUAGCCGU
RNAcentral lists this ribosomal RNA (983 nucleotides) under uncultured Prevotella sp. RNAcentral's name for it is "bacterial SSU rRNA". It matches the Rfam family "Bacterial small subunit ribosomal RNA", at positions 509 to 1503 of the family's 1533-position model. The record is from RNAcentral. Lineage: Bacteria; Pseudomonadati; Bacteroidota; Bacteroidia; Bacteroidales; Prevotellaceae.